GACGAACGCUGGCGGCGUGCUUAACACAUGCAAGUCGAACGGAAAGGCCCUGCUUUUGUGGGGUGCUCGAGUGGCGAACGGGUGAGUAACACGUGAGUAACCUGCCCUUGACUUUGGGAUAACUUCAGGAAACUGGGGCUAAUACCGGAUAUGAGCUCCUGCUGCAUGGUGGUGGUUGGAAAGUUUCGGCGGUUGGGGAUGGACUCGCGGCUUAUCAGCUUGUUGGUGGGGUAGUGGCUUACCAAGGCUUUGACGGGUAGCCGGCCUGAGAGGGUGACCGGCCACAUUGGGACUGAGAUACGGCCCAGACUCCUACGGGAGGCAGCAGUGGGGAAUAUUGCACAAUGGGCGGAAGCCUGAUGCAGCAACGCCGCGUGCGGGAUGACGGCCUUCGGGUUGUAAACCGCUUUCGCCUGUGACGAAGCGUGAGUGACGGUAAUGGGUAAAGAAGCAACGGCUAACUACGUG
This 468-nucleotide ribosomal RNA is filed under the name uncultured bacterium. Its description in RNAcentral is "partial 16S ribosomal RNA". It matches the Rfam family "Bacterial small subunit ribosomal RNA", at positions 28 to 507 of the family's 1533-position model. The record is from RNAcentral.